UUGCUCUGUUCUUUGUCUAGUCUCGGGUUUAUCUGGCAUAAGAACGACAGGAGCUCGAGGUUCCUUGACAAGCUCAGUCUCCCCCCCAAUCAGAAAACCCUUCCGUCCUCGUUCAUCCGAAAGAGGUUGUUCUUCUUGUUCCAUUUCUAAGCCCCGCAAAGCAGUUGAAAAAAUUGAUAAAGAAGAAGCUAAGUUUAAGAUAAAAAGAAAAAUUGAUUACAGGUGUUUCACUGUCUAAACCAAAGUCAAGUUAAACCACUCCAAAGAUCAAAGUGUUCUUUUCUUUUUACUUUCCCAAUAAUUCUACAACUGGUCAUAUCAGUAAUUUAAUAACCAGUAUGUUUCUUUUUGCUUAGAAGAAUCAAAGUACAUGAGUUGGAAAAGAAAUGGUAUGAAAUUAGAGCUAAAAUUAAUCAAACUUAAUUACCUGAACAGCAGAUGCAGCAAGAUGUUAUCCAAUUAUUUGAUUAAAUCAGAAGAAAGAAGAUGGACGGGGAAGAGUAAGUGUGUUGGAGACGCGUGAUAGAGCUUCGGCUUGUGUGGCUGUGGAUAAGGAUAGAUUCAGACAGUCAGAGAAGCAGAUGACAGUGAAAAAAAGUAAAAUGGAUUUCUGUCGUUCAUGGAUGUCAUAUGGACAUGUUGUUCUUCCAGGAAGCGGAUCCGGCGAGGGGUGCUCUUGACGUAGCGGAAGCUUAUUAAAUAAAAAGGAGCACCGUCCCUUUGUAGGAAAUUGCUCGAAUCCACGAGCAGGAAAUAGUUUUCUCGAAUCCACGAGUAAGAGAUUGUAGUUCUGAAUGAAAUUCUUAUUUCAAUGAAAAUUUGAAGUGCCAGUAACGAGGAUUGGUAGCUUGUAUUUAUAGCUGCCAAUCCUAAUUCUAAUCAGAACAUACUUGCGGAGAUAAUUAAUAAAACAUAUAAUAUUCCUACUUAAAAACAUAAACUAGAGUUCUAACUUGGAAACAAUAAUAUCAGUAGCAGUGUGCAAUAAGGAAAAACGCAGCAGUGGCAGAGUGUGCUUCUAACUCUGAAGCUUGAAUCGUGAUGUGUUUAUCCUUGUUGGCCUAGGAUUUGAUUUGGUCUAGACUUCCUUCAUUAUACGGUCCUACAUCAGUCUCCCCUUCUUGAACAAAACGCGUCCUCGCGUUGAUUAGGUGAGAAGAACAUUCAUCAGGGGGAUGAUAUUCAAACAAGGCAGCAACGUUGAAGGUGGGAGAAAUGGUCAUUUCUGCAGGGAGGUCCACAACAUAUGCGUUGUCAUUAAUCUGCUGUAGGAUUUGAAAAGGACCAUGCUUUUUAUGGUUCAGCUUGUUAUACGUUCCUGCUGGUAGUCGCCCCUUUCGUAGAUAUAUCAUCACAAGAUCACCAACCUGAAAGACUUUGGCUCGUCGUUUGCGAUCUGCGGCUGUUUUGUAUCUGACAUUAGCUUCCUCUAGAUUCGCACGUACUUCUUCCUGAAUUGUUUUAAUCCGGUCAGCCAUAUGCUCUGCUGCGAUGCUCAUUCCUGGAAUCUUAGGCAGUGGUGCUAGGUCCAGUGCAUGAUGUGGUGGCUGACAGUAGACAAUUUGGAAUGGAGUUUUCCCCGUGGACCUGUUAAGCAUGCUGUUAUAGGCAAAUUUCAGCUGUGCCAGUGUAAGAUCCCAUUGUUUUGGUCUCUCUCCUGAUAGGCAGCGAAUCAAGUUUCCAAGAGUGCGGUUGACCACUUCUGUUUGCCCAUCGGUUUGAGGGUGGCUAGUGCUGCUGAAUUGCAAUGACGUAUCAAAUCGUCUCCAUAAUGUCCGCCAAAAAUGGCUUUAAAAAUUUCGUGUCUCGAUCCGAAGUGAUGGAUUUAGGAACCCCAUGUAGACGAACCACUUCUUUAAAGAACAAGAUUUGCGAUGUGCACGGCAUCUGAUGUCUUUUUGCAUGCAGAUGAAGUAUGCCAUUUUAGAGUACCUGUCCACUACGACAAAAACAGAAUCAAAUCCACGCUGAGUUCGUGGAAGUCCCAGAAUGAAAUCCAUAGAUAAGUCUUCCCAAGGGGCUGCUGGGAUGGGUAACGGCAUGUAGAGGCCUGUGUUCUGCGUGUGUCCUUUGGCUGCUUGGCACGUGGGGCAACGUUUGACAUGGUUACCAAUAUCCCGUUUCAGCUGGGGCCAAUAAUACCUCUCUUCUGCCAUGGCCACUGUCUUGUCCCGACCAAGAUGGCCUCCCAAACCGCCACCAUGUAGCUCUCGGGUUAUCUGUUCCCGUAAGGAGCUCCUGGGGAUACAUAACUGAUUGCCCCGAAAUAAAUAUCCUUCUUGAAUAUGCAUGCCAUCCUGUGAGAGUCCCUGGAUGCAUUUGGUCCAGAUAUGGCCAAAGUCGUCAUCCUCUGCAUACAAAUCCUUGAGGCAGUCGAAACCCAUGACUUCAGUCCGUAUGGUGACAAGCAAUAACGCCCUUCGACUUAGAGCGUCCGCAACUUUAUUUAACUGUCCAGCUUUAUGUUUCAGGGAGAAGGUGAACCUUUGGAUGAAGGAUAUCCAACGUGCAUGCAUUCGGUUCACACUGUUCUGGUUAUUGAUAAAUUGUAAGGCGUGGUGAUCACUGAAGAGGAUAAACUCCCUUUGCACUAAGUAGUGCUCCCAAACCUUUAAAGCACGAAACACAGCAUAAAGUUCAAGUUCGUAGGUGGACCAUUUCUUGCGAGAUUCACUUAGUUUCUCGCUGUAGAAAGCAACAGGCCGUCCUUCCUGAGAUAAUACAGCACCAACACCGACGAUUGAUGCAUCACACUCCACUUCAAAUAAUUUUUCAAAAUCUGGCAAUGCGAGAACUGGAGCGGAAGACAACCUUUCUUUAAUUAGUAUAAAGCUUUGUUCUGCUUCAGUUCCCCAAUAGAAUUUCCCUUUCUUCAUGCAUUCAGUGAUCGGCGCGACGAUUCGACUAAAAUUUCUGACAAACCGUCGAUAGAAUGUUGCUAAGCCAUGGAAGCUACGCACCUCACUGACAUUCUUUGGAGUAGGCCAUUCUCGGAUGGCUUUUAUUUUGCUUUCGUCGACUUUAAUCCCGUCAGCACUCACAACAAAUCCCAAAAAUAGCAAACUACUGGUCAUGAAGUCGCACUUUGUCAAAUUAACAUACAACUUGUUCUGUUGUAAUACUGUUAGCACUUCCCUCAAGUGCUCAAAAUGAUCAGACUUGCUUUGGCUAUAAAUUAAUAUAUCGUCGAAGUACACUACAACAAAGCGGCCGGUGAAGGGUUUAAGUACCUGAUUCAUUAGCGCAUGAAGGUACUCGGUGCGUUGGACAGUCCAAAGGGCAUUACUAGCCAUUCAUAUAAGCCCUCUCUCGUCUUGAAAGCAGUUUUCCAUUCAUCCCCGGGUCUAAUUCGAAUAUGAUGAUACCCACUCCGUAAAUCAAUUUUUGAAAAAUUUUCGAUCCUGACAGCAUGUCUAGCAUAUCCUCUAGGCGAGGGAUUGGAAACCGAUACUUAAUUGUGAUUUUUUUAGCUCGGCUGUCUAUGCACAUGCGCCAACUACCAUCUUUUUUAAGGCUGGUACCGCGCAAGGACUCAUGCUUUCCUGAACUAGUCCCUUUCUGAUAAGUUCUUCUACCUGCUCUUGUAGGAUUUGACUCUCUUUCGGACUCAUCCGAUAAUGGGGUCGAUUUGGCAGACUAGCUCCUGGAGUUAAAUCAAUUUGGUGUUGAAUAUCUCGCAUGGGGGUAUCCCAUCUGGUAGUUCUGAUGGUAUGAUUUCCUGAAACUCUGCUAGUAAAGGUUUUAGCUCCUGUGGAAUGUUGUGACUUUCGGUACCGAUUCCUCCCCCAAUUACUACUGCAAACAGCUCUCCUUGUUUUCUUGGCUUCCUCUAUAAAGUUUUCCCCAUCAACUAGGAGGACUGACUUCCCUUUAGCUUUUGGUUUGACUAAAGAAAAUUCUUCCUUUAUUGGACCCAACACAACUUUCUGCCCUUUAUUCAUGAAGAUAUACACGUUAUCGCGCCCCUUGUAUAUAGCAUCUACAUCAAACUGCCACGGUCUGCCUAGAAUUAUAUGACAGGCGUCCAUCUCAACUACGUCACAAGUAAUGUUGUCUAGGUAAUUUUGCCCAAUAGAAAAUUGAAUAUGGCAAAUUUCUGUGACCUUUGCUUCUGCACCCUGUCUGAUCCAGCCGAUCUUAUAUGGUGAUGGAUGCUUCUCCGUCGUUAACCCCAGCUUUGUUAUCAUGCUCCUUGAGAUUAUAUUUUCGCUGCUGCCGCUAUCUAUAAUGACAUCACAUACUUUUUUGUUCACGGUGCACCUGGUUCGAAAUAUGUUGUGUCGCUGUGAUUGUCCACCUGUUUUGGUGCAAGUAGCAAUUUUCGAACCACUAGGGAACGUGAUAAUAAUUCUCCCUCAUCUCCCCCUGUGACUUCGUCCUCUUCAUAGGUGUAUGCUAAUUCAUCUCCUCCUCCUUCUGCUGUCAACUCUGGUUCUAUUAAGUGCACUGUGCUCCGUUUGGGACAUUGAUUGGAGCGAUGUCCUGGCUGCCCACAUCUAUAGCAUUUAUCUGUCGAUGGGCGAGCAUAUGGGUUUCUAGGUGCUUCUAUCAUUCCUCCAGUCUUUGAGGGUGCCCAUUACUGUGUGGUCCUUUGGAAGUAUUGGUCAGUGGUGGUUGAAAAGCUGGGAGCUUUCCUUUGUCUACUGCAACCCGAUUAAGAUCAAAAGAGUUUCUCGUUCCAGCUAUCGACUUUGCCCUUUCCAGUUGUGCUUCUGCCUUUGUAGCCAGGUUGAUGGCUUCAGUUACAGAAUAUAUAGUUUGCAUGGAGACCCGAUCUUGUAUCGCCAAACGUAGACCACUCACAAACCUGCUGACUUGUUGUGCGUCAGUUUCUGAUAGAUUAUUACGUGAUGAUAAUCUAUGGAAUUCUUCAACAUAUGUUUGCACUGUUCUGCUUCCUUGUCUGCAAUCCUGAUAUUGUUGGAACAGGAUUUGUUCAUAAUCUGGUGGUAAAUACCUUGCUCGUAGAAGCCGUCUCAUCUUUGCCCAUGUUUGUACCAUUCCUUUUCUUUGUCGCGCCCGUGUGAGUUGCAGUUGCUCCCACCAAGCAGAGGCCCCUCCCAUCAAUCUGUAAGCAACCAAUUUUACCUUCUUAUCUUCAGGGAUUUCCAUGUAGUCGAAAAAUCUUUCAACCACGGCCAGCCAAUCAAGAAACCCCUCUAUUUGCAACUGACCAUUGAAACUGGGUAAAUCCAUUUUCAUACGGAAGGUUUGUGGUUCUCUUCCUCCCAUAUUGCGUUGUCCCUGGCGAUUGUGUCGAAACAUGUGUUCGACAUAUUCCUCAUCAUCACUCAGUUCUUCCUCGUAAGCUAACUGCCUACGUGGAGGUGGAUGGCGUUCACGAGCAGGAGCAAUCCUUUCUCUGUAAUUUUCGCCUUCAUGCUGCAGGUUAUUUCCUGUUGUUAGCCUAGCAAGGGUUGCUUGUAUGGCUUGUAACGCCUGCUGGGUCUCACGCGGGAAGUUCCUGAAUUCUGUUUGUGUGAUCAUGCUCUCUUCAUGUUUGCCGUCAUCAAAGUUUUCGUUUUCACUCCGUGUGUUUGCCAUCUGAACAAGUUAACACCUGCUCUGAUACCAACUGAAGUAGCGGAAGCUUAUUAAAUAAAAAGGAGCACCGUCCCUUUGUAGGAAAUUGCUCGAAUCCACGAGCAGGAAAUAGUUUUCUCGAAUCCACGAGUAAGAGAUUGUAGUUCUGAAUGAAAUUCUUAUUUCAAUGAAAAUUUGAAGUGCCAGUAACGAGGAUUGGUAGCUUGUAUUUAUAGCUGCCAAUCCUAAUUCUAAUCAGAACAUACUUGCAGAGAUAAUUAAUAAAACAUAUAAUAUUCCUACUUAAAAACAUAAACUAGAGUUCUAACUUGGAAACAAUAAUAUCAGUAGCAGAGGGGCUCUUAAAUAAUGGAAUCCGUGUGCAAUAAGGAAAAACGCAGCAGUGGCAGAGUGUGCUUCUAACUCUGAAGCUUGAAUCGUGAUGUGUUUAUCCUUGUUGGCCUAGGAUUUGAUUUGGUCUAGACUUCCUUCAUUAUACGGUCCUACAUCAGUCUCCCCUUCUUGAACAAAACGCGUCCUCGCGUUGAUUAGGUGAGAAGAACAUUCAUCAGGGGAUGAUAUUCAAACAAGGCAGCAACGUUGAAGGGGAGAAAUGGUCAUUUCUGCAGGGAGGUCCACAACAUAUGCGUUGUCAUUAAUCUGCUGUAGGAUUUGAAAAGGACCAUGCUUUUUAUGGUUCAGCUUGUUAUACGUUCCUGCUGGUAGUCGCCCCUUUCGUAGAUAUAUCAUCACAAGAUCACCAACCUGAAAGACUUUGGCUCGUCGUUGCGAUCUGCGGCUGUUUUGUAUCUGACAUUAGCUUCCUCUAGAUUCGCACGUACUUCUUCCUGAAUUGUUUUAAUCCGGUCAGCCAUAUGCUCUGCUGCGAUGCUCAUUCCUGGAAUCUUAGGCAGUGGUGCUAGGUCCAGUGCAUGAUGUGGUGGCUGACAGUAGACAAUUUGGAAUGGAGUUUUCCCCGUGGACCUGUUAAGCAUGCUGUUAUAGGCAAAUUCAGCCUGUGCCAGUGUAAGAUCCCAUUGUUUUGGUCUCUCUCCUGAUAGGCAGCGAAUCAAGUUUCCAAGAGUGCGGUUGACCACUUCUGUUUGCCCAUCGGUUUGAGGGUGGCUAGUGCUGCUGAAUUGCAAUGACGUAUCAAAUCGUCUCCAUAAUGUCCGCCAAAAAUGGCUUAAAAAUUUCGUGUCUCGAUCCGAAGUGAUGGAUUUAGGAACCCCAUGUAGACGAACCACUUCUUUAAAGAACAAAUUUGCGAUGUGCACGGCAUCUGAUGUCUUUUUGCAUGCGAUGAAGUAUGCCAUUUUAGAGUACCUGUCCACUACGACAAAAACAGAAUCAAAUCCACGCUGAGUUCGUGGAAGUCCCAGAAUGAAAUCCAUAGAUAAGUCUUCCCAAGGGGCUGCUGGGAUGGGUAACGGCAUGUAGAGGCCUGUGUUCUGCGUGUGUCCUUUGGCUGCUUGGCACGUGGGGCAACAUUUGACAUGGUUACCAAUAUCCCGUUUCAGCUGGGGCCAAUAAUACCUCUCUUCUGCCAUGGCCACUGUCUUGUCCCGACCAAGAUGGCCUCCCAAACCGCCACCAUGUAGCUCUCGGGUUAUCUGUUCCCGUAAGGAGCUCCUGGGGAUACAUAACUGAUUGCCCCGAAAUAAAUAUCCUUCUUGAAUAUGCAUGCCAUCCUGUGAGAGUCCCUGGAUGCAUUUGGUCCAGAUAUGGCCAAAGUCGUCAUCCUCUGCAUACAAAUCCUUGAGGCAGUCGAAACCCAUGACUUCAGUCCGUAUGGUGACAAGCAAUAACGCCCUUCGACUUAGAGCGUCCGCAACUUUAUUUAACUGUCCAGCUUUAUGUUUCAGGGAGAAGGUGAACCUUUGGAUGAAGGAUAUCCAACGUGCAUGCAUUCGGUUCACACUGUUCUGGUUAUUGAUAAAUUGUAAGGCGUGGUGAUCACUGAAGAGGAUAAACUCCCUUUGCACUAAGUAGUGCUCCCAAACCUUUAAAGCACGAAACACAGCAUAAAGUUCAAGUUCGUAGGUGGACCAUUUCUUGCGAGAUUCACUUAGUUUCUCGCUGUAGAAAGCAACAGGCCGUCCUUCCUGAGAUAAUACAGCACCAACACCGACGAUUGAUGCAUCACACUCCACUUCAAAUAAUUUUUCAAAAUCUGGCAAUGCGAGAACUGGAGCGGAAGACAACCUUUCAAUUAGUAUAAAGCUUUGUUCUGCUUCAGUUCCCCAAUAGAAUUUCCCUUUCUUCAUGCAUUCAGUGAUCGGCGCGACGAUUCGACUAAAAUUUCUGACAAACCGUCGAUAGAAUGUUGCUAAGCCAUGGAAGCUACGCACCUCACUGACAUUCUUUGGAGUAGGCCAUUCUCGGAUGGCUUUUAUUUUGCUUUCGUCGACUUUAAUCCCGUCAGCACUCACAACAAAUCCCAAAAAUAGCAAACUACUGGUCAUGAAGUCGCACUUUGUCAAAUUAACAUACAACUUGUUCUGUUGUAAUACUGUUAGCACUUCCCUCAAGUGCUCAAAAUGAUCAGACUUGCUUUGGCUAUAAAUUAAUAUAUCGUCGAAGUACACUACAACAAAGCGGCCGGUGAAGGGUUUAAGUACCUGAUUCAUUAGACGCAUGAAGGUACUCGGUGCGUUGGACAGUCCAAAGGGCAUUACUAGCCAUUCAUAUAAGCCCUCUCUCGUCUUGAAAGCAGUUUUCCAUUCAUCCCCGGGUCUAAUUCGAAUAUGAUGAUACCCACUCCGUAAAUCAAUUUUUGAAAAAUUUUUCGAUCCUGACAGCAUGUCUAGCAUAUCCUCUAGGCGAGGGAUUGGAAACCGAUACUUAAUUGUGAUUUUGUUAAUAGCUCGGCUGUCUAUGCACAUGCGCCAACUACCAUCUUUCUUUGGUACUAGCAAGGCUGGUACCGCGCAAGGACUCAUGCUUUCCUGAACUAGUCCCUUUCUGAUAAGUUCUUCUACCUGCUCUUGUAGGAUUUGACUCUCUUUCGGACUCAUCCGAUAAUGGGGUCGAUUUGGCAGACUAGCUCCUGGAGUUAAAUCAAUUUGGUGUUGAAUAUCUCGCAUGGGGGGUAUCCCAUCUGGUAGUUCUGAUGGUAUGAUUUCCUGAAACUCUGCUAGUAAAGGUUUUAGCUCCUGUGGAAUGUUGUGACUUUCGGUACCGAUUCCUCCCCCAAUUACUACUGCAAACAGCUCUCUUGUUUUCUUGGCUUCCUCUAUAAAGUUUUCCCCAUCAACUAGGAGGACUGACUUCCCUUUAGCUUUUGGUUUGACUAAAGAAAAUUCUUCCUUUAUUGGACCCAACACAACUUUCUGCCCUUUAUUCAUGAAGAUAUACACGUUAUCGCGCCCCUUGUAUAUAGCAUCUACAUCAAACUGCCACGGUCUGCCUAGAAUUAUAUGACAGGCGUCCAUCUCAACUACGUCACAAGUAAUGUUGUCUAGGUAAUUUUGCCCAAUAGAAAAUUGAAUAUGGCAAAUUUCUGUGACCUUUGCUUCUGCACCCUGUCUGAUCCAGCCGAUCUUAUAUGGUGAUGGAUGCUUCUCCGUCGUUAACCCCAGCUUUGUUAUCAUGCUCCUUGAGAUUAUAUUUUCGCUGCUGCCGCUAUCUAUAAUGACAUCACAUACUUUUUUGUUCACGGUGCACCUGGUUCGAAAUAUGUUGUGUCGCUGUGAUUGUUCCACCUGUUUUGGUGCAAGUAGCAAUUUUCGAACCACUAGGGAACGUGAUAAUAAUUCUCCCUCAUCUCCCCCUGUGACUUCGUCCUCUUCAUAGGUGUAUGCUAAUUCAUCUCCUCCUCCUUCUGCUGUCAACUCUGGUUCUAUUAAGUGCACUGUGCUCCGUUUGGGACAUUGAUUGGAGCGAUGUCCUGGCUGCCCACAUCUAUAGCAUUUAUCUGUCGAUGGGCGAGCAUAUGGGUUUCUAGGUGCUUCUAUCAUUCCUCCAGUCUUUGAGGGUGCCCCAUUACUGUGUGGUCCUUUGGAAGUAUUGGUCAGUGGUGGUUGAAAAGCUGGGAGCUUUCCUUUGUCUACUGCAACCCGAUUAAGAUCAAAAGAGUUUCUCGUUCCAGCUAUCGACUUUGCCCUUUCCAGUUGUGCUUCUGCCUUUGUAGCCAGGUUGAUGGCUUCAGUUACAGAAUAUAUAGUUUGCAUGGAGACCCGAUCUUGUAUCGCCAAACGUAGACCACUCACAAACCUGCUGACUUGUUGUGCGUCAGUUUCUGAUAGAUUAUUACGUGAUGAUAAUCUAUGGAAUUCUUCAACAUAUGUUUGCACUGUUCUGCUUCCUUGUCUGCAAUCCUGAUAUUGUUGGAACAGGAUUUGUUCAUAAUCUGGUGGUAAAUACCUUGCUCGUAGAAGCCGUCUCAUCUUUGCCCAUGUUUGUACCAUUCCUUUUCUUUGUCGCGCCCGUGUGAGUUGCAGUUGCUCCCACCAAGCAGAGGCCCCUCCCAUCAAUCUGUAAGCAACCAAUUUUACCUUCUUAUCUUCAGGGAUUUCCAUGUAGUCGAAAAAUCUUUCAACCACGGCCAGCCAAUCAAGAAACCCCUCUAUUUGCAACUGACCAUUGAAACUGGGUAAAUCCAUUUUCAUACGGAAGGUUUGUGGUUCUCUUCCUCCCAUAUUGCGUUGUCCCUGGCGAUUGUGUCGAAACAUGUGUUCGACAUAUUCCCUCAUCAUCACUCAGUUCUUCCUCGUAAGCUAACUGCCUACGUGGAGGUGGAUGGCGUUCACGAGCAGGAGCAAUCCUUUCUCUGUAAUUUUCGCCUUCAUGCUGCAGGUUAUUUCCUGUUGUUAGCCUAGCAAGGGUUGCUUGUAUGGCUUGUAACGCCUGCUGGGUCUCACGCGGGAAGUUCCUGAAUUCUGUUUGUGUGAUCAUGCUCUCUUCAUGUUUGCCGUCAUCAAAGUUUUCGUUUUCACUCCGUGUGUUUGCCAUCUGAACAAGUUAACACCUGCUCUGAUACCAACUGAAGUAGCGGAAGCUUAUUAAAUAAAAAGGAGCACCGUCCCUUUGUAGGAAAUUGCUCGAAUCCACGAGCAGGAAAUAGUUUUCUCGAAUCCACGAGUAAGAGAUUGUAGUUCUGAAUGAAAUUCUUAUUUCAAUGAAAAUUUGAAGUGCCAGUAACGAGGAUUGGUAGCUUGUAUUUAUAGCUGCCAAUCCUAAUUCUAAUCAGAACAUACUUGCAGAGAUAAUUAAUAAAACAUAUAAUAUUCCUACUUAAAAACAUAAACUAGAGUUCUAACUUGGAAACAAUAAUAUCAGUAGCAGAGGGGCUCUUAAAUAAUGGAAUCCGUGUGCAAUAAGGAAAAACGCAGCAGUGGCAGAGUGUGCUUCUAACUCUGAAGCUUGAAUCGUGAUGUGUUUAUCCUUGUUGGCCUAGGAUUUGAUUUGGUCUAGACUUCCUUCAUUAUACGGUCCUACAUCAGUCUCCCCUUCUUGAACAAAACGCGUCCUCGCGUUGAUUAGGUGAGAAGAACAUUCAUCAGGGGGAUGAUAUUCAAACAAGUCAGCAACGUUGAAGGUGGGAGAAAUGGUCAUUUCUGCAGGGAGGUCCACAACAUAUGCGUUGUCAUUAAUCUUCUGUAGGAUUUGAAAAGGACCAUGCUUUUUAUGGUUCAGCUUGUUAUACGUUCCUGCUGGUAGUCGCCCCUUUCGUAGAUAUAUCAUCACAAGAUCACCAACCUGAAAGACUUUGGCUCGUCGUUUGCGAUCUGCGGCUGUUUUGUAUCUGACAUUAGCUUCCUCUAGAUUCGCACGUACUUCUUCCUGAAUUGUUUUAAUCCGGUCAGCCAUAUGCUCUGCUGCGAUGCUCAUUCCUGGAAUCUUAGGCAGUGGUGCUAGGUCCAGUGCAUGAUGUGGUGGCUGACAGUAGACAAUUUGGAAUGGAGUUUUCCCCGUGGACCUGUUAAGCAUGCUGUUAUAGGCAAAUUCAGCCUGUGCCAGUGUAAGAUCCCAUUGUUUUGGUCUCUCUCCUGAUAGGCAGCGAAUCAAGUUUCCAAGAGUGCGGUUGACCACUUCUGUUUGCCCAUCGGUUUGAGGGUGGCUAGUGCUGCUGAAUUGCAAUGACGUAUCAAAUCGUCUCCAUAAUGUCCGCCAAAAUGGCUUAAAAAUUUCGUGUCUCGAUCCGAAGUGAUGGAUUUAGGAACCCCAUGUAGACGAACCACUUCUUUAAAGAACAGAUUUGCGAUGUGCACGGCAUCUGAUGUCUUUUUGCAUGCGAUGAAGUGUGCCAUUUUAGAGUACCUGUCCACUACGACAAAAACAGAAUCAAAUCCACGCUGAGUUCGUGGAAGUCCCAGAAUGAAAUCCAUAGAUAAGUCUUCCCAAGGGGCUGCUGGGAUGGGUAACGGCAUGUAGAGGCCUGUGUUCUGCGUGUGUCCUUUGGCUGCUUGGCACGUGGGGCAACGUUUGACAUGGUUACCAAUAUCCCGUUUCAGCUGGGGCCAAUAAUACCUCUCUUCUGCCAUGGCCACUGUCUUGUCCCGACCAAGAUGGCCUCCCAAACCGCCACCAUGUAGCUCUCGGGUUAUCUGUUCCCGUAAGGAGCUCCUGGGGAUACAUAACUGAUUGCCCCGAAAUAAAUAUCCUUCUUGAAUAUGCAUGCCAUCCUGUGAGAGUCCCUGGAUGCAUUUGGUCCAGAUAUGGCCAAAGUCGUCAUCCUCUGCAUACAAAUCCUUGAGGCAGUCGAAACCCAUGACUUCAGUCCGUAUGGUGACAAGCAAUAACGCCCUUCGACUUAGAGCGUCCGCAACUUUAUUUAACUGUCCAGCUUUAUGUUUCAGGGAGAAGGUGAACCUUUGGAUGAAGGAUAUCCAACGUGCAUGCAUUCGGUUCACACUGUUCUGGUUAUUGAUAAAUUGUAAGGCGUGGUGAUCACUGAAGAGGAUAAACUCCCUUUGCACUAAGUAGUGCUCCCAAACCUUUAAAGCACGAAACACAGCAUAAAGUUCAAGUUCGUAGGUGGACCAUUUCUUGCGAGAUUCACUUAGUUUCUCGCUGUAGAAAGCAACAGGCCGUCCUUCCUGAGAUAAUACAGCACCAACACCGACGAUUGAUGCAUCACACUCCACUUCAAAUAAUUUUUCAAAAUCUGGCAAUGCGAGAACUGGAGCGGAAGACAACCUUUCUUUAAUUAGUAUAAAGCUUUGUUCUGCUUCAGUUCCCCAAUAGAAUUUCCCUUUCUUCAUGCAUUCAGUGAUCGGCGCGACGACGACUAAAAUUUCUGACAAACCGUCGAUAGAAUGUUGCUAAGCCAUGGAAGCUACGCACCUCACUGACAUUCUUUGGAGUAGGCCAUUCUCGGAUGGCUUUUAUUUUGCUUUCGUCGACUUUAAUCCCGUCAGCACUCACAACAAAUCCCAAAAAUAGCAAACUACUGGUCAUGAAGUCGCACUUUGUCAAAUUAACAUACAACUUGUUCUGUUGUAAUACUGUUAGCACUUCCCUCAAGUGCUCAAAAUGAUCAGACUUGCUUUGGCUAUAAAUUAAUAUAUCGUCGAAGUACACUACAACAAAGCGGCCGGUGAAGGGUUUAAGUACCUGAUUCAUUAGGCGCAUGAAGGUACUCGGUGCGUUGGACAGUCCAAAGGGCAUUACUAGCCAUUCAUAUAAGCCCUCUCUCGUCUUGAAAGCAGUUUUCCAUUCAUCCCCGGGUCUAAUUCGAAUCUGAUGAUACCCACUCCGUAAAUCAAUUUUUGAAAAAAUUUUCGAUCCUGACAGCAUGUCUAGCAUAUCCUCUAGGCGAGGGAUUGGAAACCGAUACUUAAUUGUGAUUUUGUUAAUAGCUCGGCUGUCUAUGCACAUGCGCCAACUACCAUCUUUCUUUGGUACUAGCAAGGCUGGUACCGCGCAAGGACUCAUGCUUUCCUGAACUAGUCCCUUUCUGAUAAGUUCUUCUACCUGCUCUUGUAGGAUUUGACUCUCUUUCGGACUCAUCCGAUAAUGGGGUCGAUUUGGCAGACUAGCUCCUGGAGUUAAAUCAAUUUGGUGUUGAAUAUCUCGCAUGGGGGGUAUCCCAUCUGGUAGUUCUGAUGGUAUGAUUUCCUGAAACUCUGCUAGUAAAGGUUUUAGCUCCUGUGGAAUGUUGUGACUUUCGGUACCGAUUCCUCCCCCAAUUACUACUGCAAACAGCUCUCCUGUUUUCUUGGCUUCCUCUAUAAAGUUUUCCCCAUCAACUAGGAGGACUGACUUCCCUUUAGCUUUUGGUUUGACUAAAGAAAAUUCUUCCUUUAUUGGACCCAACACAACUUUCUGCCCUUUAUUCAUGAAGAUAUACACGUUAUCGCGCCCCUUGUAUAUAGCAUCUACAUCAAACUGCCACGGUCUGCCUAGAAUUAUAUGACAGGCGUCCAUCUCAACUACGUCACAAGUAAUGUUGUCUAGGUAAUUUUGCCCAAUAGAAAAUUGAAUAUGGCAAAUUUCUGUGACCUUUGCUUCUGCACCCUGUCUGAUCCAGCCGAUCUUAUAUGGUGAUGGAUGCUUCUCCGUCUUUAACCCCAGCUUUGUUAUCAUGCUCCUUGAGAUUAUAUUUUCGCUGCUGCCGCUAUCUAUAAUGACAUCACAUACUUUUUUGUUCACGGUGCACCUGGUUCGAAAUAUGUUGUGUCGCUGUGAUUGUUCCACCUGUUUUGGUGCAAGUAGCAGUUUUCGAACCACUAGGGAACGUGAUAAUAAUUCUCCCUCAUCUCCCCCUGUGACUUCGUCCUCUUCAUAGGUGUAUGCUAAUUCAUCUCCUCCUCCUUCUGCUGUCAACUCUGGUUCUAUUAAGUGCACUGUGCUCCGUUUGGGACAUUGAUUGGAGCGAUGUCCUGGCUGCCCACAUCUAUAGCAUUUAUCUGUCGAUGGGCGAGCAUAUGGGUUUCUAGGUGCUUCUAUCAUUCCUCCAGUCUUUGAGGGUGCCCCAUUACUGUGUGGUCCUUUGGAAGUAUUGGUGAGUGGUGGUUGAAAAGCUGGGAGCUUUCCUUUGUCUACUGCAACCCGAUUAAGAUCAAAAGAGUUUCUCGUUCCAGCUAUCGACUUUGCCCUUUCCAGUUGUGCUUCUGCCUUUGUAGCCAGGUUGAUGGCUUCAGUUACAGAAUAUAUAGUUUGCAUGGAGACCCGAUCUUGUAUCGCCAAACGUAGACCACUCACAAACCUGCUGACUUGUUGUGCGUCAGUUUCUGAUAGAUUAUUACGUGAUGAUAAUCUAUGGAAUUCUUCAACAUAUGUUUGCACUGUUCUGCUUCCUUGUCUGCAAUCCUGAUAUUGUUGGAACAGGAUUUGUUCAUAAUCUGGUGGUAAAUACCUUGCUCGUAGAAGCCGUCUCAUCUUUGCCCAUGUUUGUACCAUUCCUUUUCUUUGUCGCGCCCGUGUGAGUUGCAGUUGCUCCCACCAAGCAGAGGCCCCUCCCAUCAAUCUGUAAGCAACCAAUUUUACCUUCUUAUCUUCAGGGAUUUCCAUGUAGUCGAAAAAUCUUUCAACCACGGCCAGCCAAUCAAGAAACCCCUCUAUUUGCAACUGACCAUUGAAACUGGGUAAAUCCAUUUUCAUACGGAAGGUUUGUGGUUCUCUUCCUCCCAUAUUGCGUUGUCCCUGGCGAUUGUGUCGAAACAUGUGUUCGACAUAUUCCUCAUCAUCACUCAGUUCUUCCUCGUAAGCUAACUGCCUACGUGGAGGUGGAUGGCGUUCACGAGCAGGAGCAAUCCUUUCUCUGCAAUUUUCGCCUUCAUGCUGCAGGUUAUUUCCUGUUGUUAGCCUAGCAAGGGUUGCUUGUAUGGCUUGUAACGCCUGCUGGGUCUCACGCUGGAAGUUCCUGAAUUCUGUUUGUGUGAUCAUGCUCUCUUCAUGUUUGCCGUCAUCAAAGUUUUCGUUUUCACUCCGUGUGUUUGCCAUCUGAACAAGUUAACACCUGCUCUGAUACCAACUGACGUAGCGGAAGCUUAUUAAAUAAAAAGGAGCACCGUCCCUUUGUAGGAAAUUGCUCGAAUCCACGAGCAGGAAAUAGUUUUCUCGAAUCCACGAGUAAGAGAUUGUAGUUCUGAAUGAAAUUCUUAUUUCAAUGAAAAUUUGAAGUGCCAGUAACGAGGAUUGGUAGCUUGUAUUUAUAGCUGCCAAUCCUAAUUCUAAUCAGAACAUACUUGCAGAGAUAAUUAAUAAAACAUAUAAUAUUCCUACUUAAAAACAUAAACUAGAGUUCUAACUUGGAAACAAUAAUAUCAGUAGCAGAGGGGCUCUUAAAUAAUGGAAUCCGUGUGCAAUAAGGAAAAACGCAGCAGUGGCAGAGUGUGCUUCUAACUCUGAAGCUUGAAUCGUGAUGUGUUUAUCCUUGUUGGCCUAGGAUUUGAUUUGGUCUAGACUUCCUUCAUUAUAUGGUCCUACAUCAGCUCUAGUGAAGGCGUGGGGGUAGGCGGUGGCUGAUGAUAGCCACCUUUGCAAACGAUGAGAAAGAGCACGAUCCACCACAAAACAGCAGAAGACAAAGCAGUAGGCCGAGAGAAGAAAAGGGAGCAGAGUUGACCGAGAGAGAAGUAGAGCUGACCUAGAGAGCGGUAUCUUCACAAAUGGAGAGGUUUGUGUUUUCUGUAGCUGGUAGAAAAAAGAUACAGAGGAUGAUAGGCAACUGAGAUGGAGAGUACCUGUUUGUUUGCUGGUUUUAAAAAAAGAAGUUAUUUUCUAGAAAAUAAAUUAUUUAUUUAUAUAUAUAUAUAUAUAUAUAUAUAUAUAUAUAUAUUCAAGAAAAAUUAUUUAUAAAAUAUUUUUCAAUACUAGGUUAUAUCAUAAAAAUAGUAAAAAAUAGUUUAUUUAUUUAUAUUUUAAUUAUUUUUUAAGUUUAUUAAAAAAAUAAAAAUUACUAAUAAAAAAAUAGAAAAUAAAUCUGAUAAAUAAAAAAUUAAAAAAAAUUAAAAAAAUAAUUUCAUUAAUUAUUUUAAAUAAGAUAAAUAUCAAUUAAAUUAAUAAAAAUCAAAUCUAAUAAAUUUAAAAUUUCAAUUAAAAGAUAACAAUCAAAAGAGAUAAACUAAAUUUAAUAUAAAAAUCAAAUUUUAAAUGAUAAAAUUAAAAAAAUCAAAAUAAAAUAUAUAAAAGCUUAAAUAUUAAGGAUUAAAUUUGAUAUAUUAAUAAAUAAAAGAUAAAAUUUAGUCAACUUUUUAUAUAUUAAUCAAAAAUAAAAAUUAAAACUAAAAAACUAAUAAUUUAAUUAUUUCAGACAAAAAUUAUUUUAAAAAAUACUAUAUAUUUGAAUUCCAUGCACUUUUUUCAUUUUAGGUUUUAUUUCAAUCAUACCUCAACAAUAUUUAUUUACAAAGCAUACAAUUAAUUUAGUUAGUUUAAUAUAUUUUAUUAUUUUAAUUUAUUGAUAUCAAAAAUAAAUUUUAAAAAAUAAAAAUUUUAAAAAUUAAUUAUUGCCUCUAUGUGAAACACCAUUAAUUUUCUCUUCUUUCCAUUGCAUCAUUGGCUUCUACGCCUGCAAAUCUAGGUACCUUUUUUAUAUAUAAAAAAAAUUCGUUACUUUUUGCUAAAAACAACCAAGUUAGUGACAGUUUAUGCAUACUUGACAUGUCUUGCAGAGGAAACAGAAGCACCCUACUUUGCAUUCAGCUGGUUAAACGACAACAACACGUUCCAAACAGAAGAUGCUUCAACUAAACUGACCUAAGAGAGCUUAGACAAACAUCUCGAUAGACUUUGUUGAAGGCUUCAAAUGGUAAAUCUCGAUAGACCUAAGCAAUUUUUAUUCACAAAGAUAAAAUCUGGAAAGAACUAUUUAAGAUAUUAGGGGUGAAAUUGCUUUUAAGUUUAGCUUAUCACCCAUGAACUGAUAGACAAUCAGAAAAAGGUUAGCUAGUGCAUGCACAAACCUUAAAUGGUACAAUUCAAGUUGCCAUUCUGCUAUUAAAAUAUCAAACACCUAAAAUGAUGAUUCGGGGGAUAACUAAUGUGGUUGUUGUGGAUGAAAUGAUACAACAGAGAGUUGAAAUGAAUCGAUUACUUGGAUCUCAGAAAUGGCAAGGAACAAGAUGAAAUGGAUGUGUUUUUUUUUUUUUUUUUUCAGCACCUCGAUUUUGCUUACUGUAGCUCCUGUUGUUGCCCCUUUUUUUUUUUUUUUUUAAUAUAGCAGGUUUUUUCAAACUUGGAUGCAAUUUUUAAUUUUUGCUUUUCCCAGGAUCGAAUUAGGUUGCUCGCUAUCUUGCACGCCCUUUCUUUUCCUAUGCUUGUUUUCCUGCAGAUUGGUUGUUUUGCAGCAACGGUAUUUGACUCUUUUUUUUUGUUCGUCUUUAAAAAAAUAUUUUUUAUAUAUUUUUUAAAAGUUAUUUUUAAUAUUAAUAUAUUAAAAAAUUUCUUGUUAUUAUUAAUUAUGGUGUCUUAUCAUAUCAUUGGGGAGAGGUGAGUUUCCUCUUAGGUGACAUGUGGGAAAAAAGUAACCAUGGACGAGAAAUAAGGUGCCUUGCUCUACAUAUAGAGAAUGAAUUUGGCGUGCGUUAGUGGGUGGUUUGUGACAUUGUUAAAACUUCAUAUGUUUAGAGGUUGGUAUUGGGUCGAGACCCAAUUAAUGAAUUGUUAUUGACUUAAUCUCUAUGUGCUUCAUGGCGGGAUUUUAGUUCAGAAGCUUUUUGUUAACUCAGAGUUGUCAUGUUCAAUAUAUAAGCUUUUAUAUUGCUCAGGCACUUCAAAUGAAGAUGGAAGUGCGGAGGAAACUUCAUGGAUAUAUUGCAGGUAUGAAGACAUUUACAGCUGAGAAUUGAAGCUCGAGGGGAACUACAUGCAGUCAGUGUUGAAGAAAGCGCAAGAAAGACUGCCUAAACACUUCAAAAGACAGGAGGCUCAAGCUUAAAGGAUGCUAGAUGUUAUCUAAUUGAUUUUUAGUAGAGAUUUUCAGGAUUGAUUCGCUUAAUGGAAGAACUUGAUUGCACUGUCCUGCUUAUUAUGGCCAUUUUGAUUACCUUCAAGCUACUCUUUCUGCUGCCAUCAAUCCAACCUGUUACUGUUUCUUGGUAACUAUAUCUUCAUUCUAAGAUUGAUUUCGCUUUCCCUUCUCUUCUGUUUUUUUAUCAGAGUUAUCUCUGCAAAGACAAUGAACUUCGGGUGAGCCCCACAGGUUACAGCCAAGUAAACAACGAGAAUGCAUGCUCCCGCCAGCCUGCAAAAUCUAGCACAAAGCAAUCGUUUGGGUCAUAGUCUAAGGCCUUAGCCCACAGCCAAUCUCGAAAUGGAAUGAUUCUUUUAUUUGUUUUUUGUUUUUUGCAUUUAGGACUCUCAUUUCUUCGUAUGUUUACUUCGUUUAAUUUUUUAAUCAAAGCUAAAGCUCGGUUGACUUGAUCAAGAUGAUCGGAUUCACAGUCUAAAAGCCCUCAUCAACAUAAAUUAUCAUUUUAAAUUUGUUUUUUUUUUAAUAUUUAAUUUUUUAUAAGAUUUUUUAUAUAUGUAGCCUUGCAUAAUUUUUUUUUAAUUAUUAUUCAAUAAAUUUUAUGUGUGUUAGUUUCUAUUAUAAAUAUUAUGUUUUUUUAUUACAAAUUUAUUUUGAUAAAGAGGUUCAUUAAACAUAAUUAGGUAAAUUAUCCGUGUUGCGAUAUUAGAUAUCCUGAUUUUAUUUUUUGCUUGGUUUUUCAAUUUUAUUUUUGUUUAUUGUUGAUGAAUCUUUUUUUCAUUGCUUUACACAAAUUGGUUAUUGAUUUGUUUAAUUAGAUGCGUGCAUAAGCUUUUCAAUUAACAUCUAAGAGUUUUUUUUAGUGUAAAAAAACAUGUUGAAUAAUUUGUAAUUCAUUUUUUUUAUUAUGUUUUGAUGUUUAAGAUUUGAUGCUUAUUUUAUGAUUUUUUUUUUAUUUUUCCCUUGAAUCUUUUAUAAAGUUUUAUUGUUUUUAGUUUCACCCUUCAAUUCAAGUUUAUGUGUAUUUUUUUUUUCUUUGUUCUUUUGAUUUUUGUCAUUUUGUUAAUGUUUUUAUUUUUUCAUUUUAACUCUCAAAUUUAAAAUUUAUUGUUGCCGUUUGAUUUAUUUUUUAUUGCAAUUUUAACACUCAUUAUUUUUAUUGUAUUUUCUUGAUUUUGUGUUUUUUCUGUGAUUUUAACCCUCAUGCUUUUUUCAUGUAUAGUGCUUUCGAUUUAUAACCUGGGUCACGGUUUAAAAACAACAAUAAUUGAUUUUUUUAUCUUUUUUUUUUUAUUUUCUUUCUACGCAAUUAUCUUAUUCUCAUUUAUUUUUUUACUUAGUUAAUAAAUAAGAUCAUUGAGAUAUUUUAAGAAUAUUAUGAAGAUAUAGUUCUAUAAUAUUGGCAAAUGUUCAUCUUUUAUAUUGAAUCGUUGUUUUUUUUUCUGUUUUAUUUGUUAUCGAUAUUUUAUUUUUUAAUGAUAUUAUUAAAUUAACCGAGUCAAUUGAACUCAUUAGAGCCAAUUAUCUGUAUAUUAUAUAUUUUUAAAAUAUUUUUAUGCUAAAAAAAACCUUAGCAUAUCAUAGCCACCUAUUAAAAAAAACUAAAACAGAUCAGAGAAUCACUGUAGAUUGUGUCUAAAAUCACUGUGGAUUGCACUGUUUGCUUUUAAAAUUCAUUCUUGCGGUAAGUCUUAGCCAGUUGUGUUUCACUGUUUUUUCAUUUAUUUUGUUGGGCAUGUGGCAGGAUCCCUACCACAUAUCUUUAUGUUUUUUUUUAGCAGGUUACAGGUACAACUUUUCAUCUCUUUGUUUUUUCUGAUACAAACGCAAAGAACACCUCCCAAACAAAUCAAAUAACACAUUCACAAUUCCAGAUCUAUCUCUUCUCUGAUCUGUUUUAGUUUUUUUUUAAUUAAAAAAAAAUGCUAAAACGGCUUAAGGAAACAUUGUGCCCACUAUGUGUAAUUACUGUGGGCUGGAGCUUAGUGUUUUCAAAGCUAAGUUGGAAUUCAUGGAGGGAAGAUCGUCUUGGUUUCACUCCAAGAUCUCAAUUUGCAUUUCAGUUCUCAUCAGGAGGUCUGGGCGGAGCUUGCGUUUCGUUCACUCAAAAAGAAUGGAAUCUGGAUCCGUAAGUGAUUUUCUUCCUUACUUUAUAGAGCUUUGUCUGAUAGGGAAUUUUAGCUCCUCCUUUUUCUUGCUGCUUGGGUCCUCACGGACAGAUUUUAUAAUUGCAUAAUAUAGAUCCCAAAAGGAAAGAUCAGGAAAUGAAGAGUGAACAACGGCUUGUGAUAGCUUAGGCUAAAAGGGAAAGGGACUUUAUUCUGCAGAGACGUCGCCGCCACCAGAAAAUAUGGCUUGAUUUUAGGAGUCCUUUCUUCUGGGUUGUAUGUGUUCUCAGUAUGCUACAUUAAAUGCAACGCCCACUUGGUUGGAUUUGAUUGAGAGAGCAGGUGAGUUUAUUUGUGAUUAGUAAUUUGGUCAGAUUAUCAAAAAAAACUAAAAGAGAUCAGGAAAACAUUGUGGAUUCACUGUGGAUUCAAACAGUGUUUCUCACAACGAGUUUGUUCAAUUUCACGAGAAGUUUUGUUUAAUUUCUUUAAUUAUUUUUAUGUGUUGUUCACUGGCGGUUUCUUGGAUUUUGGUGGUUUCUUGGAUUCGAUAGGUGCGGUUUGUGGGGGAUGGGACAUUUAUCGGGGCUGGGAUGGUUAGGUGAGGUUUGCGGGGGAUGAGAUUGAUGUUGGGAUUGGGACUACAAAAUGGCAUAGGAAUCUGGAAUCAAUCAAGAACCAGCCGAGAACUUGCCUAAAAAAAGAACAAAAACGUGGGCACCAACCCAAAAAAUCUGGCGUGAUUUUGGGAGCCAUUUCUUCUAGAUUGUAUGGGUUCUCAUUAUGUGCAUUAAAUGCGAUGUCCACUUGAUUAGAUUUAGUUUUGUAUUACUAAAAAAGCUGGUAGGUUUCUUUGUGUUUGGUUGGGGAUUUUACUUUAAUUUUUGUUGUUGAGCACUUUGUGUACUGUUGUAGCUCUGGAGAUUACUGGUUACCAGGCUUGCCUAAAUCAAGCUGCAUUUCAGUUGAGUUUCAAUCUAUCAGAUCAAUUUGUCAUCUUUUGUCUUCUUUAUUUUUUUCCUAUCCCUGUCACCCUACCCUCUAAAAAAAAAGUCAUGAAGGCUAAAGUUAAAGAAUCGAUUCUCUCUCUCUCUUAAAAUUGAUUUGCUCAAUCUCACUUCCUUUUCAUUCUCACGAACAUGGCUUCUUUGCCAUGAAAUAUUCUUCUUUCCUUCCUCCCCAUAAGCAUCCAUUCACUUUGUCUCUGUGUUUAAACAAAAAAAAACAAACACUCACACAACAGGUUUCUCUCUCUCUCUCUGCCUCUCUCUCUUCCAUUCACGAAAAAAAAUUGAUCUCUUUGUUAUUUUUUGUUAUUUAUAUUCAAUUAUUGUAAACUCCUUCCUACAUGAAGAAUUUUUCAUGAUUUUAAUUGAAUUCCCAUAUGAGCUUGCAUAUUUAUUUAUUAUUAUGUAGAAGUUCUAGAAUGGGUUGUUUACCGCCAUCGUGAAGUUUGCUCAACAUGCAUGGCUCGACUUUGUUUCAUCUGUGAUGAUUGUCGUCGUUGUAUCUGCAAGACCAAGUCAUCUGUCGUUUUUGUCAUCAAGGUUAGGCCUGCCUUUUCAAAUUCCAUCUUUUAUGACUGUUAAUUCAUUUGAAUUUGAUGAUGGGCGUGAUUAAUUGAUAAUCAAUGAAUCAAAUUUGUUAGUUAGGUUAUGCUAUUUUCUUUAUCUUUGAAUAAGCAAGUGCAUAAUUUGUUGACAUCUCUAUAUUGCUUACCAUUGAUCUUGAUUAUUUCCAUGUAUAUUUAACAAUCUAAGCUUAAAUUGGUUAUUCCAUCUACGGUCCCUAACUUGGUUUUUAUGAGUAACAGUUUGCCCAGUCAGACCCAGUAAUCAGAUUGAAGAUUUUUGCAGCAUAGCUACUGGGUUGGGGUGAAGAAAUGAAAGUAGUGGUUGGAAAGUUAUAUUAUAUGGAGUUGUGUAAACACAUGUAUCGUGAUCAACAAUUAUUUAUGAUUUUGUCCAUAUAACUUCAUGAAUUCGGUUGACAACAAUAUUGACUUUAUUUUGUGGUCUUAAAACUUGGUGUCAAAAGUAAAGAAUGAACUAUAUGUAUAACGUGUGUGGUCUAUUACAUUACUAUCAAUCUGUUAUAGCUCAAGCUCAUUGUAGGAAAGUUAUUGUCUUGGACUAUUAAUUGUGCCUUUCUUUGAUGUUAUAUGCCUAAAUGUAAUGACAGAGAAGUCUUUUGUUAAUUUUGUUUUUCUUUCUAAUACCGAUGACAUUUUUUAUAAUGUAGAUUAUUAGGGCAUCAUCUCGGAUGGCAGGUUUGUGGGCAUAACCGCUAAGCAUUGACCUUCAUGUUAUGUUGAGAGGUGUGAUUAUUCAAGUGAUCCAAAUGAAAGCUAAUCCAUAUGCAUGUCAAAGAGACUUAUGACUUUUUUUUUUCUAACUAUCCAUAAGAUAUCUUUCUUGGCUUUACUUCUGCCUUCAGGAAACUACUGCUUGAAUUGGGAUGCAAGGAGGUUAUUUUCUAGCUUUAUAUCCCAAUGAACAAAACCCAUGUUAUGGCAAUAUUUGAUAACUGAAAUCGCUUGAGGGAUCUAUUGCUGCUACCGGCUGUUAGCUGAAGAAGAGUGUGAGAGGGAAAGAUUGGAUUUUUAUGGGAUGUUGAGGGUUUUAUGCGUGCGUGCGUGUGAAAGAAAGAGAGAGAUCUUUGUUGAUUGAGAAGAGAAGGAUCUAAUGUUUUUUCAAAAUUUUCUUGCAGAGAUCUUUAGACCAACAAUAUAGUUGUAGGGAUCUGCACAAGUUGAUCAGAAAGAAAACUUUGUAAGUGGUGUACAUCUUUCUAUGUAACUAGCAAUUUAUUACACGGUUAAUCAAGUUUUUUCUUUCAUUCAGCAAUGAGAAUGUGAUCAAUUAAUUCUUGGACUUUACAAGAUUUUAAUGGCUUCCUACUUUUGCCUUUUUUUUUGUUUCACCAUUAAACAAAUAGUUUACAUGAUAUACUAUAGCUUUGGAUAGGGACUGGCAGAACUUGGUGGUUGGUUAGGUUGCAGUCCUAACACAAAAUCAUUGAGUGUUUACAACACCAUCAACAAUUAACGCUGGACCACAUAGAAGAUGUGGUCAUUGAUGGAAAAUAGGUUGUAAAAAAGAGUUUGGCAAGUGCAGUGUUAUGUAUUAUAUCUUUUUGUUAAAUCAAAGGUGGUGAGUGCAUUGUUGUAGGGGUGGCUUCCAAGGUUCUUAUAGUUGGUCUUCCUAUAUAAUCAACACUAUCACAAUCAUUUACAGUGGACUUCCAACAUGUUACAAUGGUCUCGUAUGUUGAAGCCAUGUAGGAAACAAGUCUACAUGCUCCCAUCAACCUGUAAUUUCUAACACAACACAACUAUUGAACUUUUUGGUCCAGAAAUUUGAAGAGGACAUGUAGGUAACAUGUAUGAAUGCUCCUAUUAGGUUGUGAUUUCUAACACAUAACAACCAUUGAGCGUUUUGGAUUAGAAUUUCAAUGAAGAUCCUAAUCAUUCAUAAGAAUAUAUAUUUAUCACUUUGGGCUAUACUGCUUGAAAAUAGAAAACAAGCUAGGUGGUUUAUUUUUGGUUUGCCCUUUUUAAUUCAAAGAUUUCUUUCAUUCUUUUCAUGUUUCAUUACUAUUGAUACUGGAUUAGCCUUAUCCUUCACUCCAUUUAUUUUUGCUCAUCUCAUUAAUGUCCAUGAAUAACAUCACCUUCUUUUUAUAGGAAAACUGAAGCUCUAGAAAGGCUGCAUCACCGCUUUAGAAAUUUUUUUGUUGAUACAGUUGUGGCCUUCACAAACUUUUUCAUGGCUGCUAUGUAUAUUUAUUAAGAAACAUGAAACUCCAUACCAUGCUAGACUAACGUGCUUAAUUGAACAAGACAAUUCAAAUAUGUAAUUGCUUUGAAGGGUUUGAAACAACUCAUACGGCUGCUUUAUUGUUUUGCAUUACAGCCUUGCACAUGUUCAAAAAAAAUAAUGCAUUUUGCUUUUAUUGUGUUUAUAUAAACAUAGAACUAAUAUCUCAACCCGCGGCGAAGCGCGGGCAACAAAUCUAGUCUAGUACUAUCUAUAAACAUAUCAUCUUAUCCCAUCUCAUGUCACAUACUCAUUAAAAGCUUGACACGUGUAUGAUACACUGUGGUGCAAUCUGUGGUACAAUGACAAAGAUAUUUUAUAUCGAUUGAGAGGUUAAGGAGCCAGUCAAUAUUUUAUAUUUCAGUCUUUUGUGGCAUUAAUAAUAAUGAUAGAAACAUUGGUCCACACUCUUAGUUUCUUUCAUGGCAAAUACUUUUCCCUCAGGUCGAUGAUGAAGAGUAUAUGUAGGGUUCUUGAUUAUUCCUUCUUGUCGAGAAGCUUGUAGCAAUCUAUCACGGUGUCCUUGUCAAGAAAGAUCUGCCUAGGAAUAUAAACAUAUAGCUUGAAAAUGGAGAGCUAGAAUGAAAGUUAAUUAAUUAGGAUGAAAACAAAUUUGAAAAGGAAUUUAAUGAGAUUAAUUUAUUAAGAAUGUUUUAUUUCUAUAAAAGUUUAAUCUAUCCGCAUGCAUGCUAAGCAUAUAUUCAAACUAGCAAUUGAUAUAAAAUCAAAGUUCUAACAUACAUGCUAAUAAUAAAAUUAACUAUACUUAAAUCAAAACAAAAAAUUAUACUUGUUGAAGGACUUUAAAAUAAUAAGUUUUUUAUCGUUGUCAAGGAUAAAUUCAUUGCCCUUAAAGUUUUAUUGAUUGUUACUUGUGUAAUUAAGAUGUUUGUAAUAUGUUUUUCAAGAUUCUAAUGGCACUUUUAAACAUUUGAAUAAAAAAAUAUUAAACUCAAAUAUCUCACAAUAAAAUGAAACAUAUGCUCUAGAUUUGAGAGGAAAACUAAAGCUUAAAAUUAAAAGAAAACACUAAAAUAUUUGGAGGUAUUUUUAUCCUUUAACACAGAUCUUUUUAUUGUAUUUUCUUGAUUUUGGAUUUUUUGUGUUGUUUUUCUGUGAUUUUAACCCUCAUGUUUUUUUCAUGUAUAAUGAUUUCAAUUUUAUAACCUGGAUCACGGUUUAAAAAGUUAAUAGUAAUUGAUUAUUUUAUCUUAUUUUUUUGUAUUUUUCUUUCUACGCAAUUAUCUUAUUCUCAUUUUUUUUUUACUUUGUUAACAAAUAAGAUCAUUGAGAUGUUUUGAGAAUAUUAUGAAGAUAUAGUUCUAUAAUAUUGGCAAAUGUUCAUAAUUUCCAUUGAAUCGUUGGUUUUUUUUUUCCUGUUUCAUUUGUUGUCGAUAUUUUAUUUUCUAAUGAUAUUAUUAUAUUAACCGAGUCAAUUGAACUCAUUAGAGCUAAUUAUUUGUAUAUUAUAUAUUUUAAUUUUUUAAAAUAUUUAUUUUUUUUCAAUAUUUUUAUGCUAAAAAAAAAACCUUAGCAUAUCAUAGCCACCUAUAUAGUACUAUCUACAAACAUAUCAUCUUAUCCCAUCCCAUGUCACAUACUCAUUAAAAGCUUGACACAUGUAAGAUACUCUCUGAUGCAACCUGUGGUACAUCGACAAAGAUAUUUUAUUGGGUAAGAUGUUGGCCUUCGCUUGCUGGGCCUAACAACACCUGGCAUGAUUUCUUUUUUAUUAUUUUUAAAAUUUUUAGUUUUUCUUUUUAAAUAAAUAAUUAUUUGUGUGUAUUUUAUGAAUUAAAUUUUGGGUUUAUGUUUUAAUUAUAUUGUAAUUAUUUUUAAAUAAUAUUUGAUGUAUUUAAUUUUUAAAGAAAUAGAUAUGAUUCAUGUUAUUAUUUAAAUUAACCAAGUCAAUUGAAUUCAUUAGAGCCAAUUAUCUAUAUAUUAUACAUUUUUUAAGUAUUUAUUUUUUUCAAUAUUUUUUAUGCUAAAACAAAUAAACCUUAGCGUUAUAGCGAAUCGCAGCUAGUAUUACCUGUUAACUACAUAUCAUCUGAUCCCAUCCCAUGUCACACACUCAUUUAAAGCUUGACACGUGUAUGAUACUCUAUGGUGCAACCUGUGGUACAACGACAAAGAUAUUUUAUACCGAUUGAGAGGUUAAGGAGCCGGUCAAUAUUUUAUAUUUCAGUGUUUUGUGGCAUUAAUAAUAAUGAUAGAAACAUUGGUCCACAAUCUUAGUUUCUUUCAUGGCAAAGACUUUUCCCUCAGGUCGAUGAUGAAGAAUAUUUGUAGUGUUCUUGGUUAUUCCUUCUUGUCGAGAAGCUUGUGCCUUGUAGCAAUCUAUCACGGUGUGCUUGUCAAGAAAGAUGUCCAUAUUAAAGGGUAGAAGUGGUAAACAAAAGAGAUGACAGAAGGAGGAUGAAAGCACAUGAUCUCUCUAGGAAUUCUAUGUACAAUUAAUGCUCGAUAAUCAACUUCUUUUCGCGGUUAAAAGAUUAAAGAAUUAAUUUUUAUUAUUAAUAAUUUUUUACUCUUUAAAUAGAGAAUGGCUUUAGAUUAAAUUUUUAUUUAUUUAUACUUUAUUUAAAUUAUAUUAAAGAAAACAAAUUUCCAGCGCAAAGCAUAACAACACACCUUUUCAUUUAUUUUUUCUUAUUUUGUUUCUUUAAUUUAGUUUUUAAUUAUAUCUUCUUCUUUUUUUAAAUCUGUUAGUUUAACUAUUUUUAAAUAGUAAUUAAUCUUUUGGAUGGGUUUUUAAAUUUCAUAAUAUCUCAAAGGGAUUAUUGUAAUUUAUUUUAAUUUUUUUAUUAAUUUUUUUCAUAGCUAGAUAAGUUAUAUUUGCAUUAUAUGUUUUUAAUGAUGAAAAUAAAAUGUACUUAAUAACCAUAAUAAACCUUCAAGAUACAUAAAAAGAAACUCAUCUAUAAAAAAUGACUACCAAGUUUAUGUGUACUGUCAAGUCCAAGUCUAUUGAUGCAAGACCCAUAUAUUUAUAUUAAAUAAAUAAAUAAAAUAACACACCAGUUAUAUUGAUUUCCUUCGCAAUUGAAGUAGGUUAGGCUGGACUGCCUAAAUAUGAUGAAUAAAGGGCUGGAUUUGCAAAAUUAUUUACACAUUUUAAUUUGUUGAUUUGAUACUUCUCAAUCUGUGAAUUUACACUGCAUUAGUAAUUAAGAACUUAGAAGGUGAAUUGACAGAAAAGAAGAAGAAGAAGAAGAACCUAAUAUGUUAUUACUGAAAAGAGUAAAUUUCUGAACCUAACUCACAACAAUUUCCUUCAUUAUUGCUCACUAAAUGUUAUUACUGAAAAGAGUAAAUUUCUGAUCACUCUAUUUCUGAGAUGGCUGCCAACUCUUGGUGAAGACGUCUCGCUGGCAUGCGGCCUGCGCUGCUUCUCUUAGGGACAGAGGAGCUAAAAGGAUCAGGAGGCUUUGUUAAGUUUUCUCCUUCCCCUUCAAGCAUCUGGACAACAGUUUUCAUGGAAGGACGCUCUGCUGGGUUCCACUGAAUGCACCAUAGCCCCACAAUUGCUAGUUUCUUCGCAAUUUUAGCAUCUUCUUCUCCAUCGAUAUGAAACCGCAGGUCUUCUUCCUUUUCUAAGAGAUUAUAAAUCCAUUCCGGGAAGUAUAUCUGGUCGCCAUUUUCUGCUGUAUCAUCGACGUUUUUCCUUCCUCCAACCAUUUCCAACACUAACAUCCCAAAGCUGUAAACAUCUGAUUUAUAGGAAACACUCCCGAAGUUCCUCGAGAACACUUCCGGGGCAAUGUAGCCAACAGUCCCCCUAGCAGUCGUCAUGGAAAUAGCACUUUUAUCCUUGGAACACAGCUUUGCCAUCCCAAAAUCGGCGAUUUUGGGAUUGAAUUCGUUGUCAAGCAGGAUAUUCUGUGGUUUGAUAUCAAAAUGGAGGAUUCUUUGAUCACACCCCUGGUGAAGAUAUUCAAUCCCCUUGGCUAUGCCUAGAGCAACACGAUUCAACCUUUCCCAGCCAAGGAAAUGGUUCCUUGAGUCUGCUGAGGUUAUGAACUUCUGUAAUGAACCAUUUGGCAAGUACUCAUAAACCAGAGCUCGUCUGAAUCCAUCAGCACAGAAACCGAUCAAGCGAACAACAUUGACAUGGUGGAUCCUUGCCAUUGUUCCCACUUCAUUGAUGAAUUCCUCCCCUUUUCCUAUGGAAUUAUUGAGGAGCUUCACAGCUACAGCAAUUUCAUUGGUUAGCUUUCCUUUGAACACGGUUCCAUAAGCUCCUUGGCCCAAUUCAUCACCGAAUUGAUUUGUGAUCCUCUUGAGAUCAGCGUAGGAGUACCUAGUGGGAUUCAGUGAUCUGUAAUCAUCCAAAAACAUUUCAACCCUGCUUGAUAUUCUCUUUGUGUUUUAUCGUUGCUAUAGGCGCGGUAGAGUGCAGUAAUCACUAUAGCAAAAAGGAAGAAUCCUAAAAUCACACCUGCAUAUCAACAUUCUGAGUCAGGAAAUCUCUGUUUUUUGGGACGUAAGUAUUGAACCAAGUGUAAAAUUGAGAUGGAGAUUUGAGCAGACUACUAACCAGUAAUCAGUAGCUUUCGCCGCACAUCUGUAAGGGAUUGAAUACUUAUUAGCUUCUCCCUUUUGCAGGCAAUGGUAAAAUCAUGAAAGCAACAAAAACGAAAAGAGUUUCUUUAGUGUUUUGUUAUUUACAUAUUCAAAUGCCAAUUAUUAAUUUGAAAAAAGGAAGAAAGAUAGAAAAGCAUACCUUUAGUGUGCUGAAGGUAGCAUUCAGUUACAGAAGAUCCACAAGCUGGAUUGGACCAAGACAUAGUAAGAACAGAAUUUUCUUCCUGCAUCAUACUAUAUGGAAUUCCAUAAAUGUUGUACAUCUUGGUACAAGAUAACAAAUCAGAGUAACUGAUGGGAACACUUGAGUCAACGGCAUAAACUUCAUGCUUAAAAGUACUCAGACAUGGGAUUUUAUACAGAGACCUUUUCUCACUAGAAAGUGAACAAUUGAACAAGGUCCGAUUAUACAGCCAAUCGUUCAUAAUUUGGAAGGGAGAAGCCCCUAAACUGAAGUUUAAACGUUGCCUUGGAAAGCAACCUUGAGGAUACCUUGCAUAAAUAAGUUGAUGUCUAUAGUCAAUUCUUUCGAUGUGGAGACUCAAUCCAGUUGGCAGCUUAAGCACUGUGCUGUUGUCCUCUGAGCAGGAUAGAUCAUACCCAGGAUAGCCACAGUGGUCUGGUUGUUUGUCCUUGAUCCGGAAAGGAAAUCGGAUGUCAGGGCCGGGGUUUCCACAUGAUCCUGUGCAGUUCAAGCUUGCUCCAUGGCCUGCAAGGAAGACAAUGAAAAAGAAGAAGAAACACGUAACCAUUUCUGAUGAAUAAUUCAUCAUCUCCACACUCCUCCUAAGACUUUAUCUGCAUGUGCUGAUAUAGUUUAGGCCUUUCAGAAAACUCAUGUAGUCCUUAGAUGGGCGAGUACUGUAGUACACGCGUCCUUGCAUGAGAAUUUAUUUACUCCAUCGAUCUAGUGUGAUGCUCCUCCCUUUGACAUUCCUCCAAUCACAAACAUGUGGGAUCCCUAGCAAGAAUCUCUCUGUUGACAUAGCAUUCACAACUAAUAUGAAUAGGCACAUGGUAACAUGUUGAAUUUGGAAAUCUAGAACUGGCAGAAAAACUAGAUUCUAUGAAAUGAAUUUUAAUUAAAUGGUCGCCCUCUUAAUGCUUAUGCCAGAAGGGACUAGUAGUCAUGAUGGAUGCGAAAUUCUCAACAUGCAUAUUUGAAUGCAUUAUAUUUAAAUUGUGUUAUUAAUUCUUUUCUUCAUAAAAAGCUACAUACCAUUAACAAGAGAAAAGGAAACAGAAAUCUAAAUUUGUUUGCUGGGUCUAUGCUCUAAUUAGGUUUGGUUAUGUGUGCUUCUAUUCAUUUCUCUAAAUUCUAUAUAUGCAUUGGCCAGGAAAAAAAAUAUCACACUGCAUAAAUUUAUUUUAGAAAAUAACAUAUAUAUUUGAAUUUGUUAGGACAACUUGACUAGUGCAACAAGACAAAAAAAGAAGAAAAGAAAAAGAAAAAGAAAGAUAGCUGGGCCAGAUAAAAGGAAAAGGAACUAAAAAACGCAACUUCGUUACACCAAAAAGAAUGCUAGAAAAAUACUUUCUCAUCGUCAAUGUGAAAAAAGGAGGAAUCCAAACGCAUAUGCAAGUUCCAAAUCGGCUAUUAUGAAAAAUUACAUUAUUUAUGUACCCAAAAUCCAAAUCAAUUAUAACAACAGCUAAAACUACAUAAUAUUUUACUUUACAAGUUCACAGUGAAACACUGAGCUGUCUUUUUCUUUUCUUUUUUUGCUUAUUUGCUUUUUUAGUUGUUUUUUUUCCUUUUUUCUUUGUUUUUUAAAGUUGUUUCUUUUCUUUGUUUUAUUUUUAAUGAAUGUUUUUUUAAUUUUUUUUUUGUUAAUGUUAAAUUUUUUUCUAUUUAGUUAUCAAAUUUUUAUGAUACAGGUUUCGAGUUUAAUGGGUUAACCCAUAUUUUUUUUCUGGUUUUUCUUUAAUUAAUUUUUUUGAGUGCAGCCCACAGUGAAACGCUUAGCUAUCUUUUUUUUUCUGCUUUGUUUUUUUAAGCUGUAUUUUUUUUUUGUUUUUUUUUUUUUAAGCUGUUUUGUUUUCUUUGUUUUUUUUAAUGAAUUUUUUUUGUUUAUUUUUUUUUGUUAAUGUUAAAUUGUUUUCUAUUUAAUUAUCAAACUUUCAUUACAUGGGUUCCGGGUGUGACGAGUUAACCUGAAUUUUUUUUUUCUUUUUAAUUAAUUUUUUCGUUUAAUUUAGUUUGUUAAUGUUAAAUUUUUUUUAUUUAGUUAUCAAACUUUCAUGACACGGAUUCCGGGUUUGACGGGUUAACCCAUCUAAUUCUGAGUUAACCCGUAAUUUUUUUUUUCUAUUCAGUUAUCAAACUUUCAUAACACGAAUUCCAGAUUUGACGGGUUAACCCAAUUAAUUUAGAUUUUUUUUCUUUUUCUUCAUUAGUUUUUUUUCUAUUUAAUUAAUAUUAAAAGAAUGAAGUAAAUGAAUAAAUUGAGUGAUUAUUACCAAUGAGAAUUAUUGAUAAUUUAUAUGAAAUUACUAGAAUUAUGUGAAAGACCGCUUUAACUUUUUUAACCUGGUUGCUCUGUCUCAACCGAUUCAAUUAAUUUCUAGAAAUCAGUUUACUUUUAGCAUUUUCACUAUCUGUCCCUUACAACCGAAGGAAGCAUAUCUUAGAAUAUCUCAUGGAUUUGGACUGGAUUGGGUGUUUUGGUUUUUGAUGAGAUGCUCCAAGAAAAAUAUCAGGCUCGCUGGAUGUCGUUGUUUGUGGUAUUGACAGUUGAUGACUUUUUUUUUUUUAUUACUUUUCAAAGUUAAUGAUUCUGACAUUUCGAAGGAGGUGGGAAAUUAUCUUCGUCUGUGAAGUAGUGUUGAAUGGUGGAUCAAUAACUCACUGUCUGCUUUGCUACUAUUCCUAUCCGAUGACUCUGACAUUUCAAAGGACGACCAGGUAGGGGUGUUCUCCUUCACCUUUCAUUGCAUUAUCGGUAGCUUCCACUCCGAAAUUCAAUAGUUUUUGUUGGAGUAAAAAGAACAGGAAAAAAGAAGAACAGUUUGUGCAAAAAUUGCGUAUACACUGUGUAUCACUUCAGCCUUCCCCAUGUUUAAUUAGAGGAAUGAACGUCCUUUUUGCUUGCUACAUAGCUUUUCUUUUACAGCUAUUAGUCUUCCAAACUUGCCAUUCUAGCAACAUCACUGCUCAUUGUGCUCCUUCUUCAUGCGGCAACAUCCAAAACAUAAGCUACCCUUUCAGACUAGACACUGAUCCACAAAGCUGCGGAAACAAUAAUUAUACUCUGAUUUGCGAGAACAAUAUUUCUACAGUAUUAAAUUUGUAUUCAGGUAAAUACUACGUGCAGGCAAUCAACUACGGUAACUUCACAAUCCGAGUGGUAGAUGCUGGUGUACAAGAUAAUUGCUGCUCCAUCCCUCGUUAUUCUUUGGCACCUGAUAACUUCAGUGACGGAGAUCCGUACACAUGGUAUAACUACAAGCAGGUGCCGCGUGGAAUUUCCGUGUACUCUUGGCGGUACAAUUUACAUUCUACGCUAUCACUGCCUAUGAUUUUCAUGAGCUGUGAAAAUACGGUGAAUUUUCCUCUUUAUGUGGACACGGCUCCCUACGGAUCAGUAAAUUAUUCCAACUCUUCUCUUGUGACUCGUUCGAAUUAUGUGACUCUUGAGGUCAUGAGUGCCUCGGAUUUGAUGGAACUGUGCAGCAUAGAGAAAAUAUUUUUGCUUCCAAAGAAGAGCUACACAUACAAGUCCUUUGAAGAAAUACACAGUGACCUGGCAUAUGGGUUUGAGCUUUCAUGGUACAACAUAAACUGUGGAAAAUGCAGAAGAGGUUGCUACGUCAGCUGGUCAGACAAUCGUCGAUGCUUUGGUAUGUAACACUUGAUGAUUAAGUUGCAUCACUUUGAUUCAUAAGACCAUAUAUAACUUGUGAUUUGAGGUGGUUUCAUAUAUUUUCUCUGGCUUACUUUUCAAUUUUCAUUUUUUUCUGCGCAUUAGCACAAUAUUGCACUGUCCCCAGAUCGAUGUUCAUGUACAAAUUCUGUGCAUCCAUUACCUGUGAAUUCUACUAUAGUGGACUGAUCAUAAGAUUCAUUCAUGUUCAUAUUGUAAAAUAUUCUGACUAUAAUAUGGACAGAUUCAUUGGUCUUUUGCAAUUUCAGGAUUGACACAGUAAACCGUUUGGUUCAUCUUAACUUGACCAUGGAUACACAUUAAUUAGUUCAAGUCACAUUAUUAAAUUGUGUGCGCUCUUAUCUAUUUUUUUUUUCGCAUUUACUGUUACGUAUACCAUUAGAACUCUUUUUUAACCUAAAUUCUCGACAGAUUUUGGUGAAAGCAAUUGGCAACUUAUACUCUACAAUGUGACAGGUGCGAAUUCUAUUUCUACAUCUCACCAUGUUUGUGUAUUCUUACGUGUUUCUUUAAUUAAACUGUUAGAAAUAUUUGAAGAAGAAGAGUAAAAAUAGGAAUAUGAGAAAUAUGGUGAAAAACAAAUCUCAUAGUAAACUCCGCUAAGAGAGGAAGUCCUACUAGACUUGGACUUAGACUUGCAAUAUUUUUAAUAUAUAUUUAUAUUAGUUUAGGAUAAUUCAAGAGAUUUAAAAGAUAAAUAUAUAUUUAAGUAGUUACAUGUAUAUAUUUAGGAGACAUCUAGGAAAACUAAAACUAAAAGACACUUUAAAUGUAGACUUGAAAAUUAAUUCUAACAUAAACAACAUGUUUGUGAAAUAAGGAUUGUUGUUUCUUGAAUAGUAAUUGUAAUUUUGUUCACCAUUUUCUGCAGCUUUCCUCCUCUAUAUAUACGUUUCAAUUGGUAAGAGAUUCCUUCAUUUCUUUAGUUUCGCAACAUAUUUCUAGUGGAGACAACAAAUAAGAUCACAAAACUUGAUUGUUUUCUGGAAAUUUCCUACACAGCACUACUUCAUGUGCUAAAAGUUGUUUGUGGGACUCCAUGUGUGAUUAUAUUUUUGAUCUACAAAUGGCAAAGGAGACAUUUAUCAGUAUACGAUACAGUUGAACAAUUCCUACAAAGUCAGAAUAACCUGAUGCCAGUAAGGUAUUCCUACUCAGAUAUCAGGAAGAUUACUAGAGGUUUCAAGGACAAAUUGGGUGAAGGAGGCUUUGGUACAGUUUACAAAGGAAAGCUUCGCAGUGGGUGUUUUGCAGCAGUAAAAUUGUUGGGAAAAUCAAAAGCUAAUGGACAGGAUUUCAUAAAUGAAGUUGCUACCAUAGGAAGGAUUCACCAUACUAAUGUGGCGCAGCUAAUCGGUUUUUGCGCCGAAGGAUCAAAGCGUGCUCUUGUAUAUGAUUUCAUGGCUAAUGGAUCUCUUGAUAGACACUUGUUUUCUCGAGAAGGAUCAAUCUCUUUAAGCUGGCAAAAACUGCAUCAUAUUUCCCUUGGAGUGGCUCUUGGUAUCGACUAUCUUCAUUUAGGCUGUGACAUGCAAAUACUUCAUUUUGAUAUCAAGCCUCACAACAUUCUUCUCGAUGAAAAUUUCACUCCAAAAGUCUCUGACUUCGGGCUCGCUAGGUUGUACCCAAACGAAUGGCAGCAUCACAUCUCUUACUGCAGCAAGGGGCACCAUAGGAUACAUGGCUCCUGAAUUGUUCUACAAAAACAUUGGACGUGUCUCCUAUAAAGCUGAUGUUUAUAGCUUCGGAAUGCUGCUAUUGGAAAUGGCAGGCAAAAGGAAAAAUGUAAACGCGUUGGCAGAAAAUUCAAGUCAAAUCUACUGGCCAUAUUGGGUUCAUGACCAAGUAUCUGAUGGAAAGGCCAUAGAAAUCGGAGACGAUGCCACGGAGGAAGAACGUAAGAUCGUCAAGAAGAUGAUUAUGGUUGGAUUGUGGUGUAUACAAAUGAAACCCAUGGAUCGGCCUACAAUGAGGAAUGUUGUGGAGAUGCUGGAAGGAGAUUUGGAAAACUUGCAAUUGCCUCCUAAGCCUGUCUUCAAUCUAGAUGUGACGCCACCAAACAUUGAAGGAGAGUCAUCAUCGUUGCCAGGUGAUUCUACCGAAUCAACCAGUUUGGUUGAAAAUGCAUACUAAGUUAUAUGAUGUGGAAUGCUAUGCUUACAUGCAGGGAAAAUGAAUAAUGGUGCUUUCGGACUUGGUUAUGAUAAUUUGCAAUACUUGCUUUUAUCUGAUUUGUGUUUAGCUAAUUUAGAGUUCAAGCUGCGGCUUGUUUCUUCGGUGUGGUCUAUAUAAUCAUCAUACAAAGAUGUUCUGUAUUGUGUUUAACUAUCAGAUUUCCACUCUGUUUGGCAAUCAUAGCAGUUGGCGAGGAUGGAACAUCCUCCAUGAUAACUGUUCCAUGUUCUACAUAUUAAUUAUCCUAUAUUUUUCUCCAACAGAAUAAUAUUUUGGCUACAAAUUAACAAGAGACUAUCACAGGGAUUAUAUAAACAAGUUGAUGCAUGAAAAGACGAGUCUCUAUUUAUAGGUAGCCACUACAAGUAGCUUCGGAGACCACAAAUACAAGUCAAGUCUCUCUAGUAAUCCUUCCACUAUAAGUAGCUUCGGAGAUAGAAAAUAGCGAUUUAUUUGCUAUCAUAGGGAUGAUUCUGAACAGAGGGGCUUAAUUUCAUUUUCUUCCACCAACAAUGCCUUCUUGUCAAUGUUCAGCCCCAUGAUAAUCGAUCUAGCGUCACCAUUUGCACAUUACCAUAUCUUGCAUAAGCCACGAGGAACCAAUCACAACAAAACAGGAUUGAAAACCAUGACCAUAACGGGUGCUGUGAAAUGAAUAUUGAAACAGAUGGGUGAAUUUGAUGCAGAAAAGUAGAGAGGAGACAAUGAAGCUUGCUUACCGGUCAUGGCAUUUCACCAGGGAGCUCUGCUUCUUCAAAAAUGCUCAACUGUGUUCAACAACCUUUCAGGAUCUGCUUCAAUUUUCUUAAGAGAAUGGGAAACAGUGAACGGGAUCCUCGUUAGCUGCGGGCAAUCACCGACUGUAAUUUCCUCAAGAGAAUAGAAGACUUCCAGAAUAAAUGCUAUUCAAAUUAUGACAUUUGUUCUACGAGAUAUUCCCACUUUCUCAGGAUGAAAAUCAUCCCACAAAUCAUCAAGAAUGAUAACAUGGUUUUGAAUCGCACUCAAUGCUGUCCUUAGCUCCCCAGCUCUACUCGUCACAUCUUUUCCUUUCGGAAGACAUAAACCAAAAGCUUCCUCAAUGAGAUCCUGCAAUGCGUGAAUGCUAAAUUCUUGUGACAUAGCAAUCCAACAAACAUGAAAAAAAAUGUCUGGUUUAUCUUGAACCUGGUUAUGGAUAUGUGCAGCCAAAGUUGUCUUUCCCACUCCUCCCAUCCCGUAAAUGCCAAUGCAUGAGACCUCACCACUCAACAACCAAGACCAGACAUCCUUCAUGUUUCUUUCAAUAGCUUGACCCACUAGCUUCGUUGUCGGGAAUACAUAUCUUUUAGUCCUGCGUCGCUUAUGUACAGGCCUUUUAGAAUAGCUUACCGUGUAAAUUCUCAAGUCAUGUUCUCUAUAUAAAUUCUUAACAAAACAUCCCUCGUUGAUGAGGAUGAGAUGUUAUUCGAGAUCAUUUCAAAUGCCUGACAUGUUUUCUCUGUUCUCUGUCUGGUCUCGGGUUCAUCUGGCAUAAGUACAACAUGAGCUCUAGGUUCCUCAACAAUCUCAGUCUCCCCAUCCUAGGCCCCCAUCAAAAAGAGGAGGUUCUUCUUGUUCCAUUUCUAAACACCGCACAGGAGUUGAAGCUGCAUUAAUUGCCUCGUUAUUGCUUGAACUUGGCACGCUCCUAUCUACAGGCCUGUUAGAAGAGCUUCCUCUCUCAGCAACAGACUGCAUCAAUUCCCAAGUCAUGUUCUUUAUACCACUGCUCGACUCAGCAUCCUUCAUCAAGGAAGACGAGAUGCUAUUCAUAUCCAUUUCAAAUGCUUAACCUGCUGGCUCUGUUCCCAAUCCAGUCUCAGGUGCAUCAGGCAUAAGCAUGCUAGGAACCAUGGUCUCCUCAUCAGUAAGCACAAUCUCUCCCCCAAUCAUCCUAUCCAUCCACGCCAAUCCAUCAUCCAAAAGAGGCUGUCCUUCUUUACUGUGGACAGCACGCCAACAUUACAAAUGAAGAGAAAGAUCACAUCCACAGAUGGAGAGAAAGCAAUAGGCCAAGAAAAGAGUAGAGUUGACCUUGAGAGCAGUAUGUUCACAGACGGAGACGGUGGAGAAUGAGACUAACAAAAAACCUUUAAGUUGGCGUGCUGUCCACAUUAUAUAUGUAUGGUAUUCAUUAUCGGUUCUUUUAAUUAUACUCAAAUCCUACUCAAACGAUAACUGUCAUGUAGGGAUUUGAUCUUCUACUUAGAUGGUCUAACAGAUUUUUUAUUAAUAAGUAGGACAAGCCUAAACUUAAUCGAAGAUUUGAUUAUUUGCUAGGUCGAUAUCUUAAAACUGAGAUAUCUAGAAAUUCGAUCGUUGAAUUAAAUUUAAAUUUUUUUUUAAGUGAUUAAAAAGACAGUUUUCCUAUAAAAAGCAAUUGUGUAUCUUUUUACAUGAUUUGGAGUCUGGAUGCCCUUGUUUUGGCCAAUUUUGUUAUUUUUCCUAGGGUGUUUCAAAUUUCUUGUAUUAUUAUAGGUUUUGUUUUAUUUUUUUUUUAAUUUUUGGACUUUGAGUUGUCUCUUAGUGAGUUAGAUUAAAAAGGUAAUUCUUCUAGGCACUUAGACUUGGUAGUGUAUCAAGUCUAGGAUAGCGUUUGUUUAACACACAUGUUAAACCCAAUACGUUUAAAUUUAACAGUCAAUUAAACUCAAUGUAAUAUAAAUAAGUAGUGUAGGCCUGAUACACAUGCGAAACCUAAGACCACGUACAAAAUAAUAACUAUCAUCUCUUAACAUGUCUAUGAAAAUGACCAACCUCCCUUUGGCUCUCUAAACAACUGGAAAACACAUUAUCAGCACUGGCGUUGUAGACUGUCGUCUGCCUAGGAUAAAUAUGAAAUGUUUAAGUUGAUGCUGGAAAUCUGAAAUGUUAAUUUCUAUCACCCUCCCGAUCACUCACAUAAAUAGCAUGACGUCAUACCUUUACUAUGAGGUAAAGGUUCCAAUACCAAAAUACAAAACAAUCCCUGGAAAUCAUAAAAUCCUAAUUUCAUCCCCGGAAUAAUAGCAAAUGACUAGAAAUCAUGGAACAUGCUCAACUGUGUUCAACAAACUUUCAGGAUCUACUUCAAUUUUCUUAAGAGAACGGGAAAUAGUGAUCGGGAUCCUCGUUAGCUGCGGGCAAUCACCCACAGUAAUUUCUUCGAGAGAAUCGCAUAGAAGUCUUCCAGAAUAAAUGCUUUUCAAAUUUGGUAAUUUCUUCAAUACCAAAACCCUCAAUUCAUCAAAUCUACGAAUAGGAGAGGAACUUCCCAUUAUCUCCUGCAUGUUGUAACAAUCUUCGACUACAAUCACUUCCAAUCGGAGUGUAGACAACAACCAAUGAGGGAGCAGCACCUUCAUCCUAUGACAUUUAUGUAUCACCAUCUCUCUGAGUUUCAAAAAGGCACCAAUAGCACCUCGCUUUGAAUGUACUUCAAAAACGGUUUCUAAGAUUAUCAAACCAUCAAGGUGUAGAAUCUGAGGCCCUCCAAUUACAACUGAUGGAAAUAAGCUUCUCAUGUUUUGACAACUCACAAAUACUACUUUUGUAAUGAGGCACGGGAACAGAAAAGUUGCAUUGUCAAUCAUGAGGUCAUAAAACCAAGCCUCUUUAAUUAACCCUGACUCUGAUCUUGCAUAAUUUAGAUCCUCGAGUGAAGAGAAACAAGGUCGUCCUACAGUAACCUUGCAUGCAAUUAGUGAACAUCUCUGUCCGCGACGGAAAACUCUGAAAUCGUGUAGAUCACGGAAGUUGCAUUCCAAAGUUUCCAAAUGAUAUAAUGUGGAAACUUCAUCUCCUCUAACUGAGAGAACAACUUCAGAUUUCUGAUGAAGCUUGAGGAACUGUAAUUUUGAGAGUUGGGGUAAAAUACCCGACCGUAAAACACGCACCCCACUUCCAUCAAGAUUAAGAUACCUUAGAUCCUCCAGCCGUUCCAUUCCCUCGGGCAAAUCUUCAAGUCCAGUGUAACUGAGAUCCAACUUCUCCAAUGCCUUAAGCUUUGCUAAUGAUGGUACAUAACUCAGCUUUGCACACCAUCCCAGCAACAAUGCAGUUAGACUCGUCAGAUGACAAAUAGAAUCCGGCAACUUCUCUAUAUCUGUGUCGGAAAGAUCAAGAACCUUGAGUCCGAUGAGGUGCUGGAAAAAAGAUUCCUCAACCAAAUCCAAUUUGUAGUUUCUGCAUAACAAUAAUGUUGAGAGACGGGGGCACAUUGGUGAAAAGUCUGUUGGAAUAUUCUCGAUUCUAUUUUCCAUGAGUGAAGCUCUUAACAGUUCCUCUCUCCACAAUCUUACAUCGGGUAAUUCUGUUAGUUGUGCACCUGCUUGAACCAUAGCCCCCCCACUUUCGUUCAAUAUUUUCCAAGCCAUAUCCCAAAUCAAAUCAUGCAUCUUGACAUAUCUGUAAUCUUCAUCGUCCCUGGAACCUUCUAAUAAGCUGGCAUCUUCAAGUUGAUCAAGCAUGGUAUGGCCCCUAUCAAAUCGUGCAUGCCUUCGCCCCAUUUCUUUGACUAUACCCUCGUCAAUCAAAUACUCUAUCAAGUCCUCUCUCAAGAUGAUCUUGCCUUUUGGAAAUAGUGUGAUAUGUAAGAAGAACUCUUGAAGUGCUGAAUCGUUCAACUGAGCAUAGCUAAAUUUCAAUACUCGAAAUACAUUGGCUUCCAUCUCACCUGGUCCAACUUCUAAUCUUCUCAGUUUUAGCAAUGCAUCUCUCCAACGAUAUUCACCAUCCACUCCCUUCAUGCUUCGAGCCAUUGUCAUGAUUCCAAGGGGCAAACAAGCACACUCCUUCACAAUAGACUCUGCGAUCUCAGGAUAAAGUGUACCACCACGCCCUAAUCUGUAUAUGAACAAAUCCCAAGCCUCGCCCUCAGAAAGAGACUCCACUUUGAUUAUCCUUUGGCAAUCCAUUUUUCGACAUAUCUCCGAUGAUCUUGUUGUGAGAAGCAACUUCCACCCGUCUGUUCUAAGAGGUAUUCCCACUUCGUCAGGAAGAAAAUGACCCCACAAAUUAUCAAGAAUUAAAACACCUUUUAUCACACUCAAUGCUGUCCAUAGCUCCCUGGCUCUAAUCAUCACAUCUUUUUCAUUCUGAAGACAUAAACCAAAAGCAUUGGCAAUGAGAUCCUGCAGUGCGUGAACGCUAAAUUCUCGAGAGUCAGUAAUCCAAUAGACAGGGAAAAAUGUCAGGUUUCUCUUGAAGUUGAUCAAGGAUAUGCGUAGCCAAAGUUGUCUUUCCGACCCCCCCCAUCCCGUAAAUGCCAAUGCAUGAGACCUCAUCAUUCAACAACCAAGAGCAGACAUCCUCCUUAUUUCUUUUAAACGCUUGGCCCACCAUCUUCGUUGUCAGAUCAUAUCUUGUAGUCCUAGGACGCUUAUGUACAGGCCUUUUAGAAGAGCUUCCUCUCACAACAAAAGACUGUUCUUUGUCUAGUCUCGGGUUCAUCUGGCAUAAGAACGACAGGAGCUCUAGGUUCCUCGACAAGCUCAGUCUCCCCCCCAAUCAGAAAACCCUUCCGUCCUCGUUCAUCCGAAAGAGGUUGUUCUUCUUGUUCCAUUUCUAAGCCCCGCAAAGCAGUUGACGCUGCAUUAAUUCCCUCGUUAUUGCUUGAACUUGGCACACUCUUAUCUACAGGCAUUUUAGAACAGCUUCCUCUCUCAGUAACAGCCUGCAUCAACUCCCG
This 40643-nucleotide long non-coding RNA is filed under the name Populus tremula. RNAcentral describes it as "long non-coding RNA (PTRE_LNC001421)". Lineage: Eukaryota; Viridiplantae; Streptophyta; Magnoliopsida; Malpighiales; Salicaceae. The record is from RNAcentral.